Molecule: ribosomal RNA, 1234 nt
Filed under: bacterium EBAD48
Lineage: Bacteria
Description: bacterial LSU rRNA
Rfam family: Bacterial large subunit ribosomal RNA
Source: RNAcentral
AUAUCACCGAAGCUGUGACUUCAUAUUAAUAUGAGGGGUAGGGGAGCAUUGUAACUGCGUCGAAGGUGUACCUGCGAGGGAUGCUGGAGCGGUUACAAACGAAAAUGUAGGCAUAAGUAACGAUAAUGCGGGCGAGAAACCCGCACGCCGAAAGACCAAGGUUUCCCCAGCUAUGCUAAUCAGCUGGGGGUCAGUCGGGACCUAACGCGAACCCGAAGGGGAUAGUGGAUGGACAACAGAUUAAUAUUUCUGUACCUGCUCACGCUAAAAGUGACGGAGGCGAGAAGUUGGUGCGUACAGACGGAAUUGUACGUUGAAGGGAGCGGUAACGCCCCGAUAGUACACCGAGACCACGGUCAAGGUGAUAAUCCAGCAUAUCGACUUCCAAGAAAAGCAAGUGAAGCAGCCCGUACCGUAAACCGACACAGGUGGUUGGGAUGAGUAUUCUAAGGCGCUCGAGAGAUUCAUGGCUAAGGAACUAGGCAAAAUAGACCCGUAACUUCGGGGAGAAGGGUCGCCCCCUUAUGGGGGGCCGCAGUGAAGAGGUCCAGGCGACUGUUUAUCAAAAACACAGGGCUCUGCAAAAUCGAAAGAUGAAGUAUAGGGCCUGACACCUGCCCGGUGCUGGAAGGUUAAGAGGAGAUGUCAUUCCUUCGGGGAGAAGCAUUGAAUUGAAGCCCCAGUAAACGGCGGCCGUAACUAUAACGGUCCUAAGGUAGCGAAAUUCCUUGUCGGGUAAGUUCCGACCUGCACGAAUGGUGCAACGAUCUGGACACUGUCUCGGCCAUGAGCUCGGUGAAAUUGUAGUAUCGGUGAAGAUGCCGGUUACCCGCAGUGGGACGAAAAGACCCCGUGCACCUUUACUAUAGCUUCGUAUUGACCUUGGUCAAGCAAUGUGUAGGAUAGCUGGGAGACUUUGAAGCUGCAUCGCUAGGUGUGGUGGAGUCAUUGUUGAAAUACCAGCCUUUGCUUGUCCGGGGCCUAACUCUCGAUGAGAGAACAGUGCGUGGUGGGUAGUUUGACUGGGGUGGUCGCCUCCAAAAGAGUAACGGAGGCUUCUAAAGGUGCCCUCAAUACGGUUGGCAAUCGUGUGUAGAGUGCAAUGGCACAAGGGCGCUUGACUGAGAGACAUACAGGUCGAUCAGGUUGGAAACAAGAGCAUAGUGAUCCGGUGGUUCCGCAUGGAAGGGCCAUCGCUCAAAGGAUAAAAGGUACGCCGGGGAUAACAGGCUGU